AUUCCUUGAGAAACAUAUGAUCAGUUUCUUCAGGAAGACAUUCUUGUAACUUGACGUUUUAUUAUUUCAUGGUAGAACACUUUUUGUCACUUGCGGUUAUGGUUCUUGUGGUACAUGGGUGUACUCUUCCACCUAUAAGUACUCCAUGGAGGAUUGGAGGUACUAAAAAGAUGAAUCUGAUUCUUUUUCCCCUUUUGGAUCCUCUAGAGGACCCAUACGUUAUUCCUCUAGGUCUUGAAAUCAUCCUUGAAAAACUCCCAUGAUUGUAUAUUGAUCCUUAAGAAGUAGUUAUGCACAGGAUAGCUUGUUUAACUAUUUUCAUGUCCUCCCGGUUCCUUCUUCAAUCCUCCGCUACCUAGCUCAUAUUAUCCGACAAAUCAACUCAUUGUCCCCUUGCAUUUUCUCUUUUUUUGUUGCUCCUUUUAUUGCAUAUGUUAUGCAUUUUCAUUUGAUGUUCUCUUUAUUUUCUCUGAUGGUGAAUCAACUCCAUUUGCUUUUGUAACCUUCCGCUCCCAAUACAGUAACACUAAAUAAGGGAAAAGUUUCAUGAUCUAAAGUUUGUUUAACUGUUAACUGUGUUUCUUUCAUCAUUGUGGAUUGCAUUGAAUUGUAACAUUUGGCUUCCUAAAAUUUGUUAGCUGAUAGGGCACAGAAUUUACGGAGGACUGUAUUCUUUUUCUUAAUUUCUUCCCAUAUAUGGUACAAUGUAGAAUCUAAUUUGUCUUUUCCCUUUUGGACUUAAUUCAUAGGUUGUUUCAUUUAUGAACUCUUUUCUGGUAUUAAGUUGGGGAAAACGGAGGAGUUGCGCAACACUGGUUCCAUUCCAAAGUCAUUGCUUCAGGAUUACCAGCGGCUCCUUAGUUCUAUGCCCUCUCGCAGGAUGAAUACAUCAAAGCUUAUAGAAAAUAGUGAAUAUUUUCAGAAUAAGUUGGUGGACACCAUACAUUUCAUGGAAAUUCUUACGUUGAAAGACAGUGUUGAGAAGGAUACCUUCUUCCGUAAACUUCCAAAUUUAGCAGAGCAGCUUCCUCGCCAAAUUGUGCUGAAAA
This 1049-nucleotide unclassified non-coding RNA is filed under the name Hevea brasiliensis (rubber tree). The record is from RNAcentral. Lineage: Eukaryota; Viridiplantae; Streptophyta; Magnoliopsida; Malpighiales; Euphorbiaceae.